RNAcentral lists this ribosomal RNA (109 nucleotides) under Acanthosepion pharaonis. Lineage: Eukaryota; Metazoa; Mollusca; Cephalopoda; Sepiida; Sepiidae. The record is from RNAcentral.
UUGCGGCUAUGUCUUGUUGAAACACCGGCUCCCAUAAGAUCACUGAAAUUAAGUAACGACGAGCUUGGUUAUUACCUAGAUGGGUGACCGCUUGGGAAUACCAGGUGUU